UUACCUUAGUCACACUGUGGCUUUAAUGUUGAGGUGGUGCCGUCUCUGAUUGGUGGAGCAUGUUGAGGUGGUGCAGCCUCUGAUUGGUAGAGCAUGUUGAGGUCUCUGAUUGGUAGAGCAUGUUGAGCAUGUUGAGGUCUCUGAUUGGUAGAGCAUGUUGAGGUCUCUGAUUGGUAGAGCAUGUUGAGCAUGUUGAGGUCUCUGAUUGGUAGAGCAUGUUGUGUUGAGGUGGUGCAGCCUCUGAUUGGUAGAGUAGAGCAUGUUGUGUUGAGGUGGAGCAGCCUC
Molecule: long non-coding RNA, 285 nt
Organism: Clupea harengus (Atlantic herring)
Lineage: Eukaryota; Metazoa; Chordata; Actinopteri; Clupeiformes; Clupeidae
Source: Ensembl